UCUCUCCCUCCCUCUUUUCUUCCCUCCCUCAUUGCUUCUCCCUUUGUCUUGCCUUCUGAAGUGUACCCCAUCAGUACACUUGGCAGGAUAGGAUAGGUUCCUGUCCUACUGGUUCUGCUCUCUGAAGAACCUUGACUGAUAAGCCUCCAGCAAACCCUCCAUGCCUUGCCAUGUCACAGUUUAUAUCAAAGGGUGGUAACCCCAGCCACUCUAGAGACUGAAGCAGGAGCGCCAGGAGUUCAAGACCUGAUUAGGCUUCAGAGUGAGUUCAAUGCCAGCCUGGGCCAUUUAACAACACCCUGUCUCAAACUAACAAGCAAAAGAGAGAGAUACAAUUCAAUCUUGGAGCCCUUGCCUGGCAUACAUGGAGACCUGGGCUCCAGACCCUUGGAUGAGUGAAUCUCCUGCUUUCUUCCUCUUACAGCCCAGCUGCUGUGCUUUGAGAGAGCCUGGCGUCAUGGAGACUAAGGAGGUGAGAUGUCCAGUGAUCUGGUCAUAAGCUCCCCCACUGCAGCUUAGCACCGUCUUACAUGUUCCAAAAUCAGGGAGGCAAAGCUCCAACAGCUGACCUUGUUUCUGAGCCUGUCUUUUCCAACCACCAAGUUCUCAUGGAAACACACAUGCAAAUUGCCAUGUCUCAGAAGCGUUGCAUUCCCGCAGCAUAGAAGGGCUUGGAUGCGGCUGUGCAGUUCCACAGGGUGGCACACGGGACAAGACGCAGCUGUGCAAGCAUGGUAAUUAGGAAGGACUACAGCUCGCACCGGCUUUCUCCAGCUUCUUUGCCCUCUAAGAAGGGAGGGUUCUUGCCCUGUGGUUGCCAGCACCUGGACUUCCCUUUUGGCAGAAUCUGAGCAAUGGGCAGAUUUUCCUAAGAAAAACAAUUCAGGCGAGGAGGGGCACAAGAUCAGACUGUACUCCGAGGAGCACAAAUGGGGGCGUCAGGUUGCCAGGAGAGACUGGAGAGAGAGAGAAUGUGAGAGGAAGACAAAUGUGGAGAGAAGACAGUGGACUGUCAGCCACUGACAUGAGUGGGAGACCCCGAGCCAGGUGUCAGCAAUCAGCCGAUGGCAUCUGUGAGCAGACGGAGAUUCUGAACACAACCUUAUUUCUGAGGGUAUCACCCCGUCCCUGUCAGGGCUGAUGCUGGCUGGAGACUUCCUUCAGAGACUUUCAAGAGUCAAAGCGGAUCAAAUGUUAGCGCCGACAAAAUGAACAAAAAUGGAGACGAAUGGCCCUAAUUUUACCCAAAUGCCUAUCAAUCCGUGAGAGGACAUUUCCAGUUGUGACUUAAUACAGAACAUCACAAAAUUCUGGGUCACCAGGUGAGGAGUGUUGGACUGGAACUUCCAGCUCCUGCAAAAGCCCGUUCCUGUCUCUCCAAACCCCACCCUCUCAGAGAAUCUGCACAAAAAGGAAGGCUUCAAAAAGCCCAGUUUGGAUUCUUGGUGCCCACAGUAGCUCCUUCUCCAAACUCCACCUAAAGUUUGCCAGCUUGUGGAGAACAAGUCAUCACCCCUCAGCUACAGGGUAGGUAAGAAGCCUGCUUUAAUUCGGUCAUGUGAUUUCUCCUGCCCCUACUCCCACCUUGAUCUCUGGAGAUGGAGAACUCACCCGGAAGUUGCUUUGCUCAAAAUAAACCUGAUCUUUUACUUUUUCAAUUCGGUUUGGUCCGGCUUAUGGCAUUGGCAGAGACACCUACUAUCAAGGUACAGAAAUCCUAUUGAGGAGGUAUGAGCCUGUAACCCCAGGACUUGAGAAUCUGCACCAGGGCAUCGUGCACUCCAGGCCAGUCUGAGGCACUCUGGAAGGCAGUAAGGUCCUUUCUUAAGAAAACAAAUGAAAGUCGCUGUUUCUCCAAUAGCAUUGACAGAAAUCCAGAUAUGCUCUGGGGUGUGGUGGGGAAAUGUAUCGAGAAGAACACAGUCAUGUUUCCAGUGAUUUUUAAGUGAGAAAGAUAGCGGGUUUCUCUGUAUUUACUUUACGGGAGGAUGUGUAUGCUAGCGUGGGUCUGUUUGCUGCCGUUUCCGUCGACAUUGUGCAAAAGCUGAACCAUGCUGGUCUCUAGCUAUACUUUGUCUUCGCAACUGCAUUACUUAAAUCCUACCUAUAUAACUCAUAAAAACAAUAACCUUUUUGUUUAAAUCUCAUGUUUCAAGAGAAAACAGGAGGUCUCAACAUCUUUCUUACCCCUAAAUACAUAUUUUGUCUUCCUGAUGUGUGUGCUCAGCUACAUGAAAAAACCUCAGGUGACAUUUCAGUGUUGACAAUCAUGUAUCCACAGACAAUUCAGUAUUGACAAUCAUGUAUCCACGGGCUUCUUGAGAUUGACAUAUAAUUUGGCAACACUGUUUUAACUUUUUUUUUUUUUCCAGAAAGAAGAGUAAAACCUGUAAUUAGAAAAAAGUCAUGUUGACUCUUUGUGUUGAUUUGGAACAAGGGUGAGAGGGGCUGGUUUUGUUGACAGUUCAAAGGUGGUGGAGCAGAGGCCAUGGAUCAACACCAGCAGGCUGGUCUAGCCCACAGGCUUCUUGUUGGUUUGCACAGGGCCCUCUCCCACCCUCAGCUGCAUUCAGUUCUCUUUCGACACAGCUCCCUGUGGUCAUGACUGCUCAUUGCCUGCCUCACCUUCCUAGACAGUUUUCCCACUGAGCCUUGGUGAGAGCGAUAGGUUCGGUAAGUCAGUCACUGGAAGACCUUCAGGAUGGCCAAGGAGGAAGCAGGAAGAGGGUGGGGAUACAGCACUUGGUCAGAGUGCACAGACCUUCACCUUCAGUUGACAGGACCUCCCAUCUCCACCAGAGUAAAUGAAUAAAUAAGAACAAAACCCCUACAAAACAACUUGA
This is a non-coding RNA of Myodes glareolus (Bank vole), 2843 nucleotides long. The record is from RefSeq and is a predicted model, not a curated record. Lineage: Eukaryota; Metazoa; Chordata; Mammalia; Rodentia; Cricetidae.